CACCCAAACAUCAGAUGAACAUACAAACAAAAAAAGGAAUCCAAGCCCGUAUAGAUGGAGUCAUGUUUGAAAAAUUAGGAGGAGCCGCUUACACCAAUCCCUUGUUUAUGUUGAUAAAAGAUUGCCUCGGUUCCUUCCAAAGUCAAUGAUUGCAUGCUGUGGCAUCUCAUUAUAUUAUUUGCUCGAACAAAACAUUCAUAUAAGGAUCUUACAUUUUGUUGAGGAUGCGGAAUUUGGUUUGUUACCUGAGGACAUUGGUGUUCCGCUUCCAUUCAUAAAGUAAAAAAUCAGGUUGGUAGAUAUGAGCUCUUGCUGAUUUGAAUUCAGGAUAAGCGGUUUCUGGGUUUCAAAUUACUUAUCUCAACAAGGGUAUGGAGGUACCACACAAAUCGGUAUCUUGACAUUCUGUUACAUAUAACUACUGUAACUUUGAAACAAUUCCACUUUGCAUUUCCGUAUGAUUUAUCCUGUCUGAACAGACAGAUCCAUGGCGCCAAUGGCCAUGUAUAAAAAUACAGAUGUAUUACAAUUUAGAAUCUCAUUAUCUCUUUCUCCAA
Molecule: long non-coding RNA, 557 nt
Organism: Lycium barbarum (goji berry)
Lineage: Eukaryota; Viridiplantae; Streptophyta; Magnoliopsida; Solanales; Solanaceae
Exons: 2
Source: RefSeq, a predicted model, not a curated record